GUGUCAGCAGCCGCGGUAAUACGUAGGGUGCGAGCGUUAAUCGGAAUUACUGGGCGUAAAGCGUGCGCAGGCGGUUCGCCGUGUCCUGUGUGAAAGCCCCGGGCUCAACCUGGGAAUGGCAUGGGAAACUGGCGGGCUGGAGUGUGGCAGAGGGGGGUGGAAUUCCGCGUGUAGCAGUGAAAUGCGUAGAGAUGCGGAGGAACACCGAUGGCGAAGGCAGCCCCCUGGGCCAACACUGACGCUCAGGCACGAAAGCGUGGGGAGCAAACAGGAUUAGAAACCCUAGUAGUCC
Molecule: ribosomal RNA, 292 nt
Filed under: uncultured bacterium
Lineage: Bacteria
Description: partial 16S ribosomal RNA
Rfam family: Bacterial small subunit ribosomal RNA
Source: RNAcentral